ACGAACGCUGGCGGCGUGCCUAAUACAUGCAAGUAGAACGCUGAAGGAGGAGCUUGCUUCUCUGGAUGAGUUGCGAACGGGUGAGUAACGCGUAGGUAACCUGCCUGGUAGCGGGGGAUAACUAUUGGAAACGAUAGCUAAUACCGCAUAAUAGUAGAUGUUGCAUGACAUUUGCUUAAAAGGUGCAAUUGCAUCACUACCAGAUGGACCUGCGUUGUAUUAGCUAGUUGGUGGGGUAACGGCUCACCAAGGCGACGAUACAUAGCCGACCUGAGAGGGUGAUCGGCCACACUGGGACUGAGACACGGCCCAGACUCCUACGGGGGGCAGCAGUAGGGAAUCUUCGGCAAUGGACGGAAGUCUGACCGAGCAACGCCGCGUGAGUGAAGAAGGUUGUCGGAUCGUAAAGCUCUGUUGUAAGAGAAGAACGAGUGUGAGAGUGGAAAGUUCACACUGUGACGGUAUCUUACCAGAAAGGGACGGCUAACUACGUG
This 494-nucleotide ribosomal RNA is filed under the name uncultured bacterium. Its description in RNAcentral is "partial 16S ribosomal RNA". It matches the Rfam family "Bacterial small subunit ribosomal RNA", at positions 29 to 507 of the family's 1533-position model. The record is from RNAcentral.